Molecule: long non-coding RNA, 1885 nt
Filed under: Oryzias javanicus (javanese ricefish)
Lineage: Eukaryota; Metazoa; Chordata; Actinopteri; Beloniformes; Adrianichthyidae
Description: lncRNA (ENSOJAG00000004589.1)
Source: RNAcentral
GAGAAAAGCCUUAAUAAAGUUGCGGGUUUUUCCAGCCUCAGCAGCAGAACUUCUCCAGAACCCGAUCAGAACCGCCUCCUAACACUUAACUCUUUCUGUUGCAGUCAGAUCACAAACAUCUGGAGGUCCUUCAGACCAACGUGACGGAGCGCCGGGUCCAGACCGCGGUUCUGCUGAGCGUCAAGGCCGGGAGGGGGCGGGGCAUGGCGACAGGAGCGGGAACGCCAGGAGUCGAGGUCGUUCUGCAGGUGCGUUUUUGGUUUCUCUGAAAGUUUGAUGAUCUGACAGCGAGGGGGCGGGGCUUAUCCAGCUGAGCAUCCGUCCUCCAGGUGGAAAUAUUAGGAGAAUUUUGAUGAUUCGAAUUCAUGAAAACAUUGAAACGUAACAAACGUGGAUUUAAUAAACAGUUUUAAUUAUUUUAACUUGACUCUCAAGGUUCUCUCGGUUACCGACUGAUUGAGUUUCUAUUUUCCUGCGUUUCUCUCGCAGGUUCCCAUAAACCAUCCAAGUCCAAAUGGUCGGAGUCGGAGGUGCGCGCCGUGGAGCAGCACCUGAUGGAGUUCAUCCGGAAGCAGCGAGUGCCGCAGAAGUACGACUGCCUGCAGUGUCUGGAGGCGGAGCCUCGGGCGCUCAGGGCGCGCUCGUGGAAGGCCGUGAAGGACUACGUCCGGAACCGGAUCACCGCGCUGCGCAGGCAGAGCGGCUGCGGCGCGAAGCCCGCAGGGAAACCCUCGGGAGAGAAAGCCAGAGCGGCGCCCCCCGUCCAGACGCGGGACGUCAGACCGGCAGCCCCCCCCAGAGCGGAUCAGACAGGAAACUCCAGGGCGCAGACCAAGGUGAAGUGGGCGGAGGCGGAGGUCCGCGCCGUGGAGAGGCACAUGAUGCGCUUCAUCACCCAGCACAAGGUGCCUCAGAAGAACGACUGCGUCCUGUGUCUGGAGGCGGAGCCUCAGGCGCUGCGGGCCCGCUCCUGGAAAGGCGUGAAGGACUACGUCCGAAACCGAAUCACCACGCUGCAGAGGCAGAGCGGCUCCUCCCGGCGCUCCAGAUCGGAGAGCUCUCGGCACAGGAGCGUCCUGCUGCAGCUGUAGCUGAAAAACCGCAGAAACAUUCCGGCUUGAAACGAAUGUUUUCCUUCGUUUAUGGAACUUUUGUUACCGUUUUAUAAAUCUAAAAGCUGAAGUUUUAUAGAUUUAUUGGAAGUUUGAAGGUUGGGAUCCACGUUUGGAGACUUAAGUCUAGUUAGAAUUACAUUUUUGAUUUUCCUUUGAAUGUUGAAGCAUUUUGUAAACAAACAAGUUCACUUUUCUGAGUAAAAGAUGUCAAAUAGAAACAUUUUGUUCAGAGGAUUUUGUUGCAAGUAUGUGGGUGUAAAUUGGGGCUGACUUUAUUUGAAACUUAAAUAAAACAAAUUGAAAAAAAUCUAUAAAUAUAUAAAAAAAAUAUAUUUAUUCCAUAGAUAAACAAAAUAAUUUUCUAAAAUAAAUUAUUCAUUAAUCAUUUCUUCAUUUAUUUUAUGAUUUAAAUCUUCUGUUUUUUAGGUUUCAAAACUCAAAAUUUUAAUUUCCAAACUUUUUUUCAGUAUAAAAGCUUUUUUUCACUUUCAAAUCUGAAAAUUUCAAAAUUGAAAGAGCAAAAAUGAAAGAGUUGAAAGUGAAAAAAUAUUUGAAACAGACAUAAAAAAAAAGGGAAUUUUUGCUUUUUGAAAAUUACAAAUUGUAAUAUUUGAAACUGAAAACAAUACAUUUUAUUUUAGAAUAGCAAAAAAUUUUAGACAUUUUACACCGAUAUUUUUUUUCAUUAUUUUUAUUUGGGUUUCAAAUAUUAUUUGGUUCAAUGGAGCUCCAUAUAAGUCCAGUUAGAAUUACCCUUUUUGUAAAAAAAA